CACAGCUCCUCCAUCUAGAAACCUGGCAGCCGUCCCAGCUGGAUGCCACCUGCCAACACUUUUCUGAAGACCAGCCAGAGGAGGAAAGAACAGAAGGGCUGCGGGCUGAGGAGGGAGGGAAGAGAAGACGCACAACGAAUUGCGUUGGCCUUUAGCCCCCUUCGAUCUCAUGCUCCCAGAGUUAUGAAGAAGUGGGAACACCCCACUGGCUGGAAUGGUGGCCUCCCAUGCAGAAGAGGGACCUUGCAGGGAAAAGUGACCCCACAGCAGCUGGAGCUAAGAGGGGAAACUAUCCAAGGAGACGAGACGCCAGCGAGGACAGCCAGCUCUAGUCCACCAACGAGACCUCCCCAGGGGAGAGUGACUUCAAGUUCUCUGCUCUCCCACAAAGAAGUUGGGGACCAAAGAGAAGGAGACUUCUAGAUACAAGCAUCUUUUCCUGAGGAGGUAAGGGAGAGUAACUCCGACUCCAGUGCGUACUAGCUGCCAGCCCUGGGCUCAGAGUUUUGCGUGCGUGGCUUCAGUCCCCCUCCCAACCACCACCUGGGUGGGUAAUUAUUACUCCCUUCUUACAGAUGAGGAGCCUGGUGCCCAAAGUCACACAUCUAAUAAAGGGUGUAUCCGAGUUCCGCCCA
RNAcentral lists this long non-coding RNA (635 nucleotides) under Ursus maritimus (polar bear). RNAcentral describes it as "lncRNA (ENSUMAG00000016508.1)". Lineage: Eukaryota; Metazoa; Chordata; Mammalia; Carnivora; Ursidae. The record is from RNAcentral.